Molecule: ribosomal RNA, 301 nt
Filed under: uncultured bacterium
Lineage: Bacteria
Description: partial 16S ribosomal RNA
Rfam family: Bacterial small subunit ribosomal RNA
Source: RNAcentral
CAGUCGCCGCGGGAAUACGUAGGGUGCAAGCGUUAAUCGGAAUUACUGGGCGUAAAGCGUGCGCAGGCGGUUAUAUAAGACAGAUGUGAAAUCCCCGGGCUCAACCUGGGAACUGCAUUUGUGACUGUAUAGCUAGAGUACGGCAGAGGGGGAUGGAAUUCCGCGUGUAGCAGUGAAAUGCGUAGAUAUGCGGAGGAACACCGAUGGCGAAGGCAAUCCCAUGGGCCUGUACUGACGCUCAUGCACGAAAGCGUGGGGAGCAAACAGGAUUAGAUACCCCCGUAGUCCCUGUCUCUUAUAC